AAUAUUGGACAAUGGGCGAAAGCCUGAUCCAGCCAUGCCGCGUGAGUGAUGAAGGCCCUAGGGUUGUAAAGCUCUUUCACCGGUGAAGAUACUGACGGUAAUCGGAGAAGAAGCCCCGGCUAACUUCGUGCCAGCUGCCGCGGUAAUACGAAGGGGGCUAGCGUUGUUCGGAAUUGCUGGGCGUAAAGCCCACGUAGGCGGACAUUUAAGUCAGGGUUGAAAUCCCGGGGCUCAACCCCGGAACUGCCUUUGAUACUGGGUGUCUCGAGUCCGGAAGAGGUGAGUGGAAUUCCGAGUGUAGAGGUGAAAUUCGUAGAUAUUCGAAGGAACACCAGUGGCGAAGGCGGCUCACUGGUCCGGUACUGACGCUGAGGUGCGAAAGCGUGGGGAGCAAACAGG
RNAcentral lists this ribosomal RNA (399 nucleotides) under uncultured bacterium. Its description in RNAcentral is "partial 16S ribosomal RNA". It matches the Rfam family "Bacterial small subunit ribosomal RNA", at positions 360 to 776 of the family's 1533-position model. The record is from RNAcentral.